UUUUUAGGUGCUGAAGUGAUGAAUAAUAUACCAAAAGACAAUAAAACCCAUGUAGAAUAUUCAUAUUUCCUUACAGCAAAGAGCACAUCUUUGUCUAACACCACAUCUACCUUCCUCAAGGACCAGGAACGCAGACCCCUCCACGACACAGCUGUGAAAGCAUACCUCUAAAGCAGGAAUUUUUGGAGAAGCAGUGCAACCAAGCAAUCUGGAGACAGAGGAGAGCCAGCAGAAGGACAGAGUUACUUCAGGGGAUUUUUGAGAGCUGGCUGGGCCCGCUACCACCAAAGAGAGAACAAGAGUCUGCAGCACAGAUCAGUGAUCAAGACAGCCACGGGGCAGCCACGUCUUCUGCAAUGCCCAUGUCUGCUCAGGCAGGCAAUUCAUCUGAACCUGACUGCUUCUUCAGCCUUCUGGAACGACCUCGUGUGGGCACAGAAGAGGAUCAUUAUAUUGACAGCAGCUACUAGAGAGAACUGAGCUAUGAGAGCAGCAAGAACAACAUGUGGACAUUUUGUGGAGGACUUAAAUGAGAGUUCUGAAUGAAAGAUUUUUCUGGGUCACCUAAUCUGGGCCUGGAGUGUACCAGUUGAUUGUUUUCCACUGCUAAAUGUAGCUGGAUGAUGGCAGC
Molecule: long non-coding RNA, 631 nt
Organism: Poecile atricapillus (Black-capped chickadee)
Lineage: Eukaryota; Metazoa; Chordata; Aves; Passeriformes; Paridae
Exons: 3
Source: RefSeq, a predicted model, not a curated record